Molecule: ribosomal RNA, 250 nt
Filed under: uncultured bacterium
Lineage: Bacteria
Description: partial 16S ribosomal RNA
Rfam family: Bacterial small subunit ribosomal RNA
Source: RNAcentral
UACGUAGGGUGCGAGCGUUAAUCGGAAUUACUGGGCGUAAAGGGUGCGCAGGCGGUCUUGCAAGUCAGAUGUGAAAGCCCCGGGCUUAACCUGGGAAUUGCGUUUGAAACUACAAGGCUAGAGUGCAGCAGAGGGGAGUGGAAUUCCAUGUGUAGCAGUGAAAUGCGUAGAGAUGUGGAAGAACACCGAUGGCGAAGGCAGCUCCCUGGGUUGACACUGACGCUCAUGCACGAAAGCGUGGGGAGCAAAC